GACGAACGCUGGCGGCGUGCUUAACACAUGCAAGUCGAACGGAAAGGCCCUGCUUUUGUGGGGUGCUCGAGUGGCGAACGGGUGAGUAACACGUGAGUAACCUGCCCUUGACUUUGGGAUAACUUCAGGAAACUGGGGCUAAUACCGGAUAGGAGCUCCUGCUGCAUGGUGGGGGUUGGAAAGUUUCGGCGGUUGGGGAUGGACUCGCGGCUUAUCAGCUUGUUGGUGGGGGAGUGGCUUACCAAGGCUUUGACGGGUAGCCGGCCUGAGAGGGUGACCGGCCACAUUGGGACUGCGGUACGGCCCAGACUCCAACGGGAGACAGCAGUGGGGAAUAUUGCACAAUGGGCGGAAGCCUGAUGCAGCAACGCCGCGGGCGGGAUGACGGCCUUCGGGUUGUAAACCGCUUUCGCCUGUGACGAAGCGUGAGUGACGGUAAUGGGUAAAGAAGCACCGGCUAACUACGUG
RNAcentral lists this ribosomal RNA (468 nucleotides) under uncultured bacterium. Its description in RNAcentral is "partial 16S ribosomal RNA". It matches the Rfam family "Bacterial small subunit ribosomal RNA", at positions 28 to 507 of the family's 1533-position model. The record is from RNAcentral.